Long non-coding RNA from Mugil cephalus (flathead mullet), 523 nucleotides. RefSeq lists it as uncharacterized. Lineage: Eukaryota; Metazoa; Chordata; Actinopteri; Mugiliformes; Mugilidae. The transcript has 2 exons. The record is from RefSeq and is a predicted model, not a curated record.
CAGGUAGAGGGACAGGUAGAGAGAGAGACAAGUAGAGGGACAGGUAGAGGGACAGGUAGAGACGGUCUGAGUAGUUCUGUGUUGCUGCUGAGAGACGGACCGGUUGGACGUCUGGACCGGUUGGACGUCUGUUCUAUGUACAGGAGACGAGCAAACGCAUCAUCAGGAUAUGAAAAUAAAAACGAGCAGAGCUGGACGCCACCAAACGCCUACAAAAAUAAAUAAUAGGUAGAAAACAAAGAGAUGUCACCACAAACACAAAGGGGUCGUCAUGGCAACGCUGCACCAGGGACACACUCUGUCUCUCGCACACACACACAGAUAUUAACAAGACAAAAAGGUUUUCUUUUCUUUUUUAGUUUCUCUCUACUGAGGUGAAAAACAGAUUCUAUUCGUCUUAAUUAUCACAUUAAUCUUCAUCAUCGUCAUCAUAGCAGUGUGUGUCUGUGUGUGUCUGUGUGUGUCUGUGUGUAGAUAUAUAUAUAUAUAUAUAUGUGUGUGUGUAUAUGUGUGUGUGUGUGUG